GUCACAAGGGAAAAAGUGAAGCUGCCAGCAUGAUCUAGCUUUGGUUACAGAUAUCAUACAUAUAUCUAUAUAGAUAGUUCAUUAGUAACCCUAGCUAGGUCAUGCUCUGACAGCCUCACUCCUUCCCAUUUGGGAC
This 136-nucleotide microRNA precursor is filed under the name Prunus persica (peach). RNAcentral's name for it is "miR167a stem-loop (ppe-MIR167a)". Its record names the gene ppe-MIR167a. It matches the Rfam family "MIR167 microRNA precursor family". The record is from miRBase by way of RNAcentral. Lineage: Eukaryota; Viridiplantae; Streptophyta; Magnoliopsida; Rosales; Rosaceae.